RNAcentral lists this ribosomal RNA (385 nucleotides) under uncultured soil bacterium. RNAcentral's name for it is "bacterial SSU rRNA". It matches the Rfam family "Bacterial small subunit ribosomal RNA", at positions 26 to 405 of the family's 1533-position model. The record is from RNAcentral.
AGAUUGAACGCUGGCGGCAGGCCUAACACAUGCAAGUCGAGCGGCAGCACGGGUACUUGUACCUGGUGGCGAGCGGCGGACGGGUGAGUAAUGCCUAGGAAUCUGCCUGAUAGUGGGGGAUAACGUUCGGAAACGGACGCUAAUACCGCAUACGUCCUUCGGGAGAAAGUGGGGGAUCUUCGGACCUCACGCUAUCAGAUGAGCCUAGGUCGGAUUAGCUAGUUGGUAGGGUAAAGGCCUACCAAGGCUACGAUCCGUAACUGGUCUGAGAGGAUGAUCAGUCACACUGGAACUGAGACACGGUCCAGACUCCUACGGGAGGCAGCAGUGGGGGAAUAGUUGGACAAAGUGGGGACGAAAGCCUGAUCCAGCCACGCCGCGUGUG